GAUUAACGCUGGCGGCGUGCAUAACACAUGCAAGUCGAACGAUGAAACUUUAAUGACCCCUUCGGGGAGAAUUAAAGCGGAUUAGUGGCGAACGGGUGAGUAACGCGUGAGUAACCUGCCUUACACAAGGGGAUAGCCUUUGGAAACGAAGAAUAAUACCCUAUAAAACCAUAAAAGCACAUGCAAUUAUGGUCAAAGUGAUAGCGGUGUAAGAUGGACUUGCGUCUGAUUAGCUAGUUGGUGAGAUAAAAGCCCACCAAGGCAACGAUCAGUAGCCGGCUUGAGAGAGUGUACGGCAACAUUGGGACUGAGACACGGCCCAGACUCCUACGGGAGGCAGCAGUGGGGAAUUUUGCACAAUGGGGGAAACACUGAUGCAGCGACGCCGCGUGAUUUAGAAGGCCUUCGGGUUGUAAAAAUCUUUUGUAUAGGAAGAAAAUGACAGUACUAUACGAAUAAGGUCCGGCUAAUUACGUG
Molecule: ribosomal RNA, 477 nt
Filed under: uncultured bacterium
Lineage: Bacteria
Description: partial 16S ribosomal RNA
Rfam family: Bacterial small subunit ribosomal RNA
Source: RNAcentral